AUUGAACGCUGGCGGAAUGCUUUACACAUGCAAGUCGAACGGCAGCACGGACUUCGGUCUGGUGGCGAGUGGCGAACGGGUGAGUAACAUAUCGGAACGUAUCCAAUAAUGGGGGAUAACGAGUCGAAAGAUUCGCUAAUACCGCAUACGCCCUACGGGGGAAAGCUGGGGACCUUCGGGCCUGGCGUUAAUGGAGCGGCCGAUAUCUGAUUAGCUAGUUGGUGAGGUAAAGGCUCACCAAGGCGACGAUCAGUAGCUGGUCUGAGAGGACGACCAGCCACACUGGAACUGAGACACGGUCCAGACUCCUACGGGAGGCAGCAGUGGGGAAUUUUGGACAAUGGGCGCAAGCCUGAUCCAGCCACUCCGCGUGAGUGAAGAAGGCCUUCGGGUUGUAAAGCUCUUUCGCAAGGGAAGAAAACUUAGCCACUAACGUUGGUUGAGGUUGACGGUACCUUGAUAAGAAGCACCGGCUAACUACGUGCCAGCCGCCGCGGUAA
RNAcentral lists this ribosomal RNA (500 nucleotides) under uncultured bacterium. RNAcentral's name for it is "partial 16S ribosomal RNA". It matches the Rfam family "Bacterial small subunit ribosomal RNA", at positions 30 to 523 of the family's 1533-position model. The record is from RNAcentral.